RNAcentral lists this long non-coding RNA (6691 nucleotides) under Nicotiana tabacum (common tobacco). RNAcentral describes it as "long non-coding RNA (NTAB_LNC011795)". The record is from RNAcentral. Lineage: Eukaryota; Viridiplantae; Streptophyta; Magnoliopsida; Solanales; Solanaceae.
AAGUCAAUUAACAACUAUCCAAUUUAAUGAGAUUUAUUAAGAAAAAAAUGAUAAUACAACUGCUUUUAUACAAGAAUUUCCCAAGAUUUGGUAGUAUAAAUCAUGAGUUUCUAAAAUUUAGAGUUUACAAAGCUAGUAUGAAAUAAAUACAUCAUUUGUCCGAAUGUACAUAAACAGAUUUUCGUAAGUCUAGGGCUACCAUGAACAAGAGGCAGUUAUAACUGGAACGCAUGUAUGUCUUCAAUGAUAGCUUCCAUCAAACACAGCAACAUCAACGUCCAAAAUCUGUGCGCAAGGUGCAGAAGUAUAAUAUGAGUAAAACCGACCCUGUGUACUCAAUAAGUAACAAACCUAACUUUAGGUUGAAAGUAGUGACGAGUUGGGAUAAAAGUCAAAGUUCAACAACAGCUCAUAACAAUAUAAUAAAAGUGGUACAGGAAAUAACUCAGAGAGGUAAUGUUCAACUCAUUUACAGUUCCGAAAAAUAGGCAUACUUUUCAAGUAUAACAGUGAAAACCCAAAUCUUUUACCGAAAGUACCAAAAUAUGAGUAAGUUUGUAAAAUCGCGAUUUUCUUUCCAAAAUUUUUCAACAUGUAAACGUUUCAUUAUCAAAUGGCAUGAGGAAAAGUACAUCUUUAUGCCUACAUGUCAAUGUGUAUGAGAAGUCAUGAAUGACGUGAUACCGUACAACAUGUGAAAAAAUACAUCUCUAUGCAUGUAUUGUCAUGUGUGCAUGUCGAAUGCAGUACAACAUAGUGAAUAAUCAUAUGCAUACUCUCAGAGUAUCAAUCCACUCAGUCUUCUCAGUCCACCCAAUCACUCGGCACUCACGCUCGGCACUUGCACUCAAUAGGUACCUGCGCUCACUAUAGGUGUGCAGACUCUGGAGGGGCUCCUUCAGUCCAAGCGCUAUAAUGAGCCAAUCAUGGCAUGAAUCUGCAUGGACAACUCACGUACUGCAGGGACAACUCAUGUACCAUAAUAUCAAUAUCUAGAUCUGCACGGAUAACUCACGUAUUAUGGUAUCAAUAUUUGGAUCCACACGAACAACUUACGUGUUACACGGACAACUCACGUGCCAUGAUAUCAAUAUCUGGAUCCUCACUUACAACUCACGUGCUAUGGUAUCAAUAACCUCACAACCAGGCCCUCGGCCUCACUCAGUCAUCAAUCUCUCCAGUCUCCCGGGUUCACAAUAUCAUGAAACUAGCCCAAAAUGAUGAUAUGAUGUAUCAAUAAAUAACAACAGAGACUGAGAUAUGAUAUGCAAUGAAUGUAUAUGACUGAGUACAAAAUUAUAAUUUAAACAUAUAAUUCGACAGCAAAAACGACCUCAGUGGGUCCCAUUAAUAGUAGCAUUUGCCUAAGAAUGAUUUCUAACAUGAAUCACGGCUUAGUUUCUCUAACCCAUGAAACAAAUCAAGUUAAUUGACUACAUAGCUCUACCGAAUCCACUGAGUCUCAAUUUUUACGGUGCACGCCCAUCACCUAGCAUGUGCGUCACCUCCAAGCAAAUCACAUAAUAUGUAUAAUCAAGGUUCAUACCCUCAGCUCCAAGUUUAGAAGUGUUACUUACCUCGAACAAGCCAAAUUCAAUACUGAGCAAGCCAAACGAUGCUCCAAAAUACCAUCCCGCGUGUACCGACCUCUGAACGGCUCGAAACUAGCCAAAAGCAACUCAAAUACAUCAAAUAAAGUUUAAGAAAAUAAGUCCAAUUGAUAAAGGUCGUAUAUUUACUCAAAAUCCCAAAAUCAACCAAAAACCAAACCCGGGCCCGUACCUUGGAACCCAAUGAAAUUUAUAAAAUCCGACAACUCAUUCAAUUACGAGUCCAACCAUACUAGUUUCGCUCAAAUCCGACUCCGAAUCAAUAUUCAAAAUUCAAAAACUCACUCUAUAAAACUUUAGGCUAUAACCCUCAAUUUCUUUUUAAACUUCAUCAACCAAUUUUUAAAAAUGAAGAUGGAUUCAUAAAAUAAAAUCAAAGCCAAGCAUAAAACACUUACCCCAAUCCUUGUGAUGAAAUUUGCUUCAAAAAUCGUCUCAAUCCGAGCCCCCAAUCUCAAAAUAUGAUGAAAGGACCAAAACCUCGAAAUAUAUAGAAUCUGCCCGGGCAUCGUCACAUCUGCGACACACUUAGCUGCUCUCUUUUGCGACAAACGUUCCGCUUCUGCAGAGAGGCACUAGAGAAAUGGCCCUCGCACCUGCGGAAAAACGUCCGCUCCUGCGCUCAAAAUCUCGCAUCUGCGCACACGCAGGUGCGCUACAAAAAUUCGCUUCUGUGGUCUUCCUUCUGUUAAUUGAGUCACAUCUCAAUUUCUCAAACACAUGAAAAAUACAUAAAAAAAAAUAUAAGUUAAUUGACUACACAGCUCUACCGAAUCGGCUAAGUCUCAAUUUCUACGGUGCACAUCUGUCACCUAGCAUGUGCGUCACCUCCAAGCAAAUCACAUAACACGUAUAAUCAGGGUUCAUACCCUCAGCUCCAAGUUUAGAAGUGUUACUUACCCCGAACAAGCCAAAUCCAAUACCGAGCAAGCCAAACGAUCCUCCAAAAUACCAUCAUGCGCGUACCAACCUCUGAACGGCUCGAAACUAGCCAAAAGCAACUCAAAUACAUCAAAUAAAGUAUAAGGAAAUAAGUCCAAUUGAUAAAGUCGAAUAUUUACUCAAAAGCCCAAAAUCAACCAAAAACAAACUCGGGCCCGUACCUCGGAACCCAAUGAAACUUAUAAAAUCCGACAACCUAUUCAAUUAUGAGUCCAACCAAACUAGUUUCGCUCAAAUCUGACUCUGAAUCAAUAUUCAAAAUUUAAAAACUCACUCUAUAAAACUUUAGGAUAAAACCCCAAAUUUAUUUUUAAAAUUUAUCAACCAAUUGCCAAAAAUGAAGAUGGAUUCAUAAAAUAAAAUCAAAGCCAAGUAUAAAAUACUUACCCCAAUCCUUGUGAUAAAAUUUGCUUCAUAAAUCGUCUCAAUCCGAGCCCCCAAUCUCAAAAUAUGAUGAAAGGAAAAAAACCUUGAAAUAUAUAGAAUUUGCUCAGGCAUCGUCGCAUCUGUGACACACUUAGCCGCUUCUGCGGCGUCGUUUUUGCGAUAAACGUUCCACUUCUAUAGAGAGGCACUGGAGCAAUGGCCCUUGCACCUACGGAACAAUAUCUGCUCCUGCGACAUCGCAGGUGCGACACAAGGACCCGCAUCUGCGCCAACUCCCGUUCCUGCACUCAAAAUCUUGCAUCUGCGCGCACGCAGGUGCGCUACAAAAAUCCGCUUAUGCGGUUUUCCUUCUGUUAAUUGAGUCACAGCUCAGUUUGUCUAACACAUAAAAAAAUAUAUGAAAUAAUACAAGUUAAUUGACUACACAACUCUAACAAAUCGACUGAGUCUCAAUUUCUACCGUGCACGCCCGUCACCUAACAUGUGCGUCACCUCCAAGAAAAUCACAUAACACGUAUAAUCAGAGUUCAUACCCUCAACUCCAUGUUUAGAAGUAUUACUUACCUCGAACAAGCCAAAUCCAAUACCAAGCAAGCCAAACGAUGCUCCAAAAUAUCAUCCCGUGCGUACCGACCUCUGAAUGGCUUGAAACUAGCCAAAAGCAACUCAAAUACAUCAAAUAAAGUCUAAGGAAAUAAGUCAAAUUAAUAAAGGUUGAAUAUUUACUCAAAAGCACAAAAUCAACCAAAAACCAAACCCGGACCUGCACCUCGGAACCCGAUGAAACUUAUAAAAUCCGACAACCCAUUCAAUUACGAGUCCAACCAUACUAGUUUCGCUCAAAUUCGACUCAGAGUCGAUAUUCAAAAUUUAAAGGCUCACUCUAUGAAACUUUAGGCUAAAACCCCCAAUUUCUCUUUAAAAUUCAUCAACCAAUUGCCAAAAAUGAAGAUGGAUUCAUAAAAUAAAAUCAAAUUCAAGUAUAAAACACUUACUCCAAUCCUUGUGAUGAAAUUUGAUUCAAAAAUCGUCUCAAUCCGAGUCUCCAAUCUCAAAAUAUGAUAAAUGGAUCAAAACCUCAAAAUAUAUAGAAUCUGACGAGGCAUCGUCGCAUCUGCGACACAUUUAGCCGCUUCUGCAGCGUCGCUUUUGCGACAAACGUUCCGCUUUUGCAGAGUGGCACUAUAGAAAUAGCCCUCGCACCUGUGGAAAAAUAUCCGCUCCUGCGACAUCGCAGGUGCAACACAAGGACCCGCAUCUGCGCCAACUCCCGCUCCUAUGCUCAAAAUCUCGAAUCUGCGCGCACGCAGGUGCGCUACAAAAAUCCGCUUUUGCGGUCUUCCUCACCUAUAAUAUAAUACGGACCUACUCGAGGCCUCAAAUUACUCAUAACAAUAUCGAAACGAUGAAUCACACCUCAAUUCGAACUUGAAUGAAUUUUGAACUUUCAACUUCCAAAACGCGCGCCGAAACAUAUCAAAUCAACCCGAAAUGAACCCAACUUUUGCAAACAAGUCCCAAAUAACAUAACGAAACUAUUCAAGUUCCCAGAACUACAAUCCGAAUCCGAUAUCAUCAAAGUCAACUUCCGGUCAAACUUAUGAACUUUCCAAACCUUCAAAUUUCCAACUUUCGCCAAUUAGCGCCGAAUACUUCUAGAAUUAUCCAACGCUCAAAACGACCGGUCGGAUCGUUACAGCUUUUACAAUUUGUUAAAUUCAAAACCCGUUAUCAGCUUUCUCAACAUAUGCUUCUUUUUUCUGGAGGUCAUUAUUACUAUUUUUCAAAUUCAUGUUCAUCAUAUACAUGAGCUUUUGCUCCCUUCAGUUUAUCUUCUGAAUUGGAAUAUACUUAAACUGUCAAGUUUCUCAUUCUUCUUUCACAUUUGACCUUUUCUUGUUCCCAGAAAUAUCAUCAUAUUCAUUUUUAUUAGUCUAUUCAAGUUAGGACUCACAUCAUCUUCAAAUGUCGAUGUAGCUAUUCAAGAAAUAUAAGAAAUCAAAUAGCUUACUAAGAUAGUUUUUUCUUUGUUUUUUGGGACAAAGGCUUGCUAAGAUAAGCACUAAAGAGAUGAAAUACACGUAAACAUCCUCCUAUACUGACUGAAGGAUGGAUAAAGAAGAAAACUUACUCUUUUUCUAUAAUGAAAUGAGUGACAAUACCUGAAUGGAAUGUUCACUGUGAAAACCCAAAAGUGCCUCCGCUACAAGUUUUGAAAAAACAUUUUAUCCUGAAAUUCAAAGAGAAGUGUAAAAGUAAUAUGAAUGUAGAAAGUAGUAGCCGCGAGAAGAAGUCUAAUUCAACAAUUAUUAUUUUAAACUUCCGGUGUCUAAGCCUUUCACUUGACUUAUUGACUUCUUUGGAAAUUGUUUGUCUAUGCAUGUGAAGAACUUAAAACAUAGUUCAAGACAUAUUUGUUUAGAAUCAUUGGACCAUCCUUUUAAAUUUCAAACAGGGCUUUAAUCGAAUAAAGUGUUAUAAAAAGAAAAGCAAUCUCUAAACUUGAAAGCAAACAGUAGGCCAGUACUUUAGGAAACAGGAACACCUAAUAGAUGCUAUUAUAUUCCAAUAAAUAUGCUCUUAAGAAUGGAUUAGAGAAGAUGUCAGCACAGUUGGAAAAAACAAACAGGAGAGGGGGAAGAAACAAACAGCAAUUACCACAAAAUAAAAGAGAACCCGCCAUUUUUAGAGCAAAGAUGCGUAACACUCUAACUACCUCAAUUUUCGAGGUAAAAUAAUUACUCCGCAAAUAAAGCGAAAUGCAAAAAACCAACGUUGACGCUUCCACAUGGGAGAAACUUUCUCUGGUGAAAUCAACUAAAUAUUAAGCAUGAAGCAGGAUGAGAAAAGAAAACAAUGAAGAAGCUGAGAGAGAACGUCGCAGGUUUUGUGAAGACAAUUCUCGUCACUCAAUUUUCUUAGCUGAGUCAACUGAUUCAGUUAAUAUUUAUUUCCAAUGUACUUGGAGUUUUUGAUUCUUCAUGAAUUCAAUUUUUUCCGCAAGUAUUUCUAAUUCUUGCAUAUAAAAGGAUAUGUUUAAGGCCUUAAGUCUCAAAAUAUAUGACUGAAAAUAUUUUUGAGGGUAUUUAAUUGUUAAUUCUAAGGCUCCAAUGCUAUUCAGCCAAUUGGUCAAACAUAUGACAUGCAAUUACAAGAAAAUAUAUGAAAGAGCGAUAUGAAUUAGCCAUCUCAAUGCAAUUAGAGCAAAGUAAUCAUAGCAACCCUUCACCAAUUUUACACAACCAUCAAAACAGUCCAAAAUAAGAAGAAAAACAAAAGAUAUCUAUCAAAAUCUCAUCACCAAGACACAAGUAAAACAAAUAAAGGAAAAAGAGAACAAAGGCCAAAAACACAAAGAGCGAAACUGUAAAAACCAACAUAUAUCAUCACAAUUCCAUUACUAAGAAACUCCACAGAAUUCACAUUUAUGAUAAACCCCAAAACCAAAGAGCAAAUGAAAGAAUGUAGAAAUCAAGUAGAAGCUAAUGGCCAUAGUGAACAAGAAACUAAGGAAAAGAUGGAAUAGAGUAAUAAUCGAGCAGAAAGACUUAAGAUUAAACUCAAAUUUCAACUCAAAAAGGGAUUAUCACCUGAUUUUUGCUCUUUCUCGGUGCAACGCUUUGAUAAUGGUGAAUUGUUGCUGUACUGCCUUUUCUCCGUGCAUGCCUAGAAAAUUCCAGAUUGAUAUAUUGAGUAGAAAGAGAGAAAAGGGAAAGAGAUGCAAACCUAUAACAAUCACAAGUAGACUUAUC